GGAUUAGUGGUGUAGUGGUAACAUAAUCGCCUUCCAUUCUUCAAUGUGAGCGAUUGCUGUGGGUUCGAUUCCCGCCUAAUUCA
Molecule: transfer RNA, 83 nt
Filed under: Aureobasidium subglaciale EXF-2481
Lineage: Eukaryota; Fungi; Ascomycota; Dothideomycetes; Dothideales; Saccotheciaceae
Rfam family: tRNA
About the family: Transfer RNA (tRNA) molecules are approximately 80 nucleotides in length. Their secondary structure includes four short double-helical elements and three loops (D, anti-codon, and T loops). Further hydrogen bonds mediate the characteristic L-shaped molecular structure. tRNAs have two regions of fundamental functional importance: the anti-codon, which is responsible for specific mRNA codon recognition, and the 3' end, to which the tRNAs corresponding amino acid is attached (by aminoacyl-tRNA synthetases). tRNAs cope with the degeneracy of the genetic code in two manners: having more than one tRNA (with a specific anti-codon) for a particular amino acid; and 'wobble' base-pairing, i.e. permitting non-standard base-pairing at the 3rd anti-codon position.
Source: Rfam by way of RNAcentral